ACUCCUACGGGAGGCAGCAGUGGGGAAUAUUGCACAAUGGGCGCAAGCCUGAUGCAGCAACGCCGUGUGAGUGAAGAAGGUUUUCGGAUCGUAAAACUCUGUCCUAAGGGAAGAAACAAAUGACGGUACCUUAGGAGGAAGCCCCGGCUAACUACGUGCCAGCAGCCGCGGUAAUACGUAGGGGGCAAGCGUUAUCCGGAAUCACUGGGCGUAAAGGGUGCGUAGGCGGCUUAGCAAGCCAGGGGUGAAAGGCAUUGGCUCAACCAAUGUAAGCCUUUGGAACUGUUAAGCUUGAGUGCAGGAGAGGUAAGUGGAAUUCCUAGUGUAGAGGUGAAAUUCGUAGAUAUUAGGAGGAACACCAGUGGCGAAGGCGACUUACUGGACUGUAACUGACGCUGAUGCACGAAAGCGUGGGUAGCGAACAGGAUUAGAUACCCUGGUAGC
RNAcentral lists this ribosomal RNA (444 nucleotides) under uncultured bacterium. Its description in RNAcentral is "bacterial SSU rRNA". It matches the Rfam family "Bacterial small subunit ribosomal RNA", at positions 335 to 794 of the family's 1533-position model. The record is from RNAcentral.